Long non-coding RNA from Ceratitis capitata (Mediterranean fruit fly), 489 nucleotides. RefSeq lists it as uncharacterized. The transcript has 3 exons. The record is from RefSeq and is a predicted model, not a curated record. NCBI's taxonomy places the organism in Eukaryota, Metazoa, Arthropoda, Insecta, Diptera, Tephritidae.
CAACAGAUUGCCAGCAAAGGUGAGUUUACUGACAGGAAGAGGACAGCAACAUGUGUAAGUAAUGGGCCGCCGGUGGCAAAACUUGUCAACGAAACACAUAAAAUCGAGAUUAAAUGCCAGACAUUGCGGUUAGCGAGCCAUGAAAGGUGGCAGCAGUUGGUUACGACGAUUAGCUCAGUGCCUCAUUGUUUCGCUUGCCUCUCCUUGUUUUGUGGGCCUUGCAUUGAUUAUACCGUUUUAGAUUGCCUUUUAGCAGUGAACGGGGUAAUUACAUGCAACACAACAGCAGAAGCACUCUAAUGGCAAUCAUUACUAGCUAAGUUGCAGGAGCUGAUGCCGAGUAGCAAUCAAUGCCAGUGGCAGCUACUGUCGACAACCGCAAAAUGCACUUAGCUACUUGCAUGCAACGACGACUGGCGCAACAUCUUGAAUUUCUCUAUGGGCGUUUGUGUGUGUAUAGUAAAGCCAAUCGAGGCGCUACAUAAUCCU